This 241-nucleotide ribosomal RNA is filed under the name Planctomycetota bacterium. RNAcentral's name for it is "partial 16S ribosomal RNA". It matches the Rfam family "Bacterial small subunit ribosomal RNA", at positions 1293 to 1533 of the family's 1533-position model. The record is from RNAcentral. Lineage: Bacteria; Pseudomonadati; Planctomycetota.
UCGGAUUGCAGGCUGCAACUCGCCUGCAUGAAGCCGGAAUCGCUAGUAAUCGCGGGUCAGCAUACCGCGGUGAAUGUGUUCCUGAGCCUUGUACACACCGCCCGUCAAGCCACGAAAGUGGGGGGCCGCCGAAGUCGCCAAGCUAACCUUCGGGAGGCAGGCGCCGAAGCGGAACUCCGCGAUUGGGACUAAGUCGUAACAAGGUAGCCGUAGGGGAACCUGCGGCUGGAUCACCUCCUUU